GGGUUAGUAACUUAACAGGUAAAGAAUUAUCUUGUCGAGAUAAUAGAUGCAGGUUCGAAUCCUGCCUAGCUCG
Molecule: non-coding RNA, 73 nt
Organism: Blastomyces dermatitidis ER-3
Lineage: Eukaryota; Fungi; Ascomycota; Eurotiomycetes; Onygenales; Ajellomycetaceae
Source: Rfam